RNAcentral lists this ribosomal RNA (467 nucleotides) under uncultured bacterium. Its description in RNAcentral is "partial 16S ribosomal RNA". It matches the Rfam family "Bacterial small subunit ribosomal RNA", at positions 28 to 507 of the family's 1533-position model. The record is from RNAcentral.
GAUGAACGCUGGCGGCGUGCUUAACACAUGCAAGUCGAACGGAAAGGCCAGUGCUUGCACUGGUGCUCGAGUGGCGAACGGGUGAGUAACACGUGGGUGAUCUGCCCUGCACUUUGGGAUAAGCCUGGGAAACUGGGUCUAAUACCAGAUAGGACCAUGCUUUGGAUGGUGUGGUGGAAAGUUUUUUCGGUGUGGGAUGAGCUUGCGGCCUAUCAGCUUGUUGGUGGGGUAAUGGCCUACCAAGGCGUCGACGGGUAGCCGGCCUGAGAGGGUGUACGGCCACAUUGGGACUGAGAUACGGCCCAGACUCCUACGGGAGGCAGCAGUGGGGAAUAUUGCACAAUGGGCGCAAGCCUGAUGCAGCGACGCCGCGUGGGGGAGGACGGCCUUCGGGUUGUAAACUCCUUUCGCAACUGACGAAGCUUUUUGUGACGGUAGGUUGAGAAGAAGCACCGGCUAACUACGUG